Molecule: ribosomal RNA, 64 nt
Filed under: Listeria monocytogenes
Lineage: Bacteria; Bacillati; Bacillota; Bacilli; Caryophanales; Listeriaceae
Source: RNAcentral
UCUGGUAGUUAUGGCGAGAAGGUCACACCCGUUCCCAUCCCGAACACGGUAGUUAAGCUUCUCU